GUACUUACCUGAUGGAGAAGACACCAUGAUCAAAAAGGUUUUUCCCAGGAUGAGGCUUAUCCAUUGCACUCUGGGAGUGUUGACCCCUAUGAUUUCCCAAAUGUGGGAAAUUUGGCUGAAUGAUUUGUGGUAACAGGAACUGAGUUUGCACUUUCCCC
This 158-nucleotide small nuclear RNA is filed under the name Nannospalax galili (Upper Galilee mountains blind mole rat). RNAcentral describes it as "U1 spliceosomal RNA (ENSNGAG00000005329.1)". It matches the Rfam family "U1 spliceosomal RNA". Rfam says of the family: U1 is a small nuclear RNA (snRNA) component of the spliceosome (involved in pre-mRNA splicing). Its 5' end forms complementary base pairs with the 5' splice junction, thus defining the 5' donor site of an intron. There are significant differences in sequence and secondary structure between metazoan and yeast U1 snRNAs, the latter being much longer (568 nucleotides as compared to 164 nucleotides in human). The record is from RNAcentral. Lineage: Eukaryota; Metazoa; Chordata; Mammalia; Rodentia; Spalacidae.